UAGGGACGACUCCACUGGCUCUAAAAACAAGUCUGAUUGUAUAGCAGUCUAUGGGAAAAUCACCCUCUAAGGAGUCGAAUGUUCAGUUUUUUCAGUGGCAAGAGUUGUAUUAGGUGCGGCAGAUGACAUCAGCAUAGCAGGAGCAGGAGUGACCUGAAUAAUUCACCUCCUCCUGGUAAUGGGGGCCACAAACCAACAGCCGGAGCGAAGGAGCUGGAAUUCGCUAUGUAAGGGAUGAGAACAGUCCUGAAGAAUAGAGCUCGCCUUACACUGCAGCUGUGACGAGUAAAGAAUUGAUGGGUUGAGUUUAGACUUACCUAUUAGCUUACUAGCCCACCUGACAAUUUGGUUUAGAGAAUUUUUGUAUUUGCAGAGACAGACUACCAAACCAUGACACAAGGGAAAAAGACAAGAUUGACUCAAUAAAAACCUGAUAAAAGACAAUCAUCAUGGUUUUAUCAAUGUGAAAAUGGGACAGUUUUCUGAGACAAAACAAAUGCUGGUCUUCAAUGAUCAUAGUCUCAUAGAUUGAAGACUGACUUCUAAAAUCUAUGAUCAUUUCCAUUGUCUUGGAAAUGUUUGGCUCCAAGAAAAAUUCAUCACACCAGGUGACAAACUCAUCAAUGACUUGACCUGGACUCAUUGUCGUGUAGGAGACUCACAAUGACUGAAUCAUCUGCAAAUUUCAGUAUAGUCCUGUUGUCAUGCUUACUUUGGCACAUGUUUUUGUACAGAAUAUUAAGUAAAGGUGAGAGAACAUAGCCCUGGGGGGGGGGAAGAACAUAAUGAAUCUGAUAAAAUGCCGUUCA
This is a long non-coding RNA of Thunnus maccoyii (southern bluefin tuna), 809 nucleotides long. RefSeq lists it as uncharacterized. The transcript has 3 exons. NCBI's taxonomy places the organism in Eukaryota, Metazoa, Chordata, Actinopteri, Scombriformes, Scombridae. The record is from RefSeq and is a predicted model, not a curated record.